GAGCUAUGAGGAUAGUUUUUAUAUUGACCAAAUAAAAGUGAUUGUAUUAUACGCUAUUCUGAGCUCCGA
Molecule: small nucleolar RNA, 69 nt
Organism: Aplysia californica (California sea hare)
Lineage: Eukaryota; Metazoa; Mollusca; Gastropoda; Aplysiida; Aplysiidae
Product: small nucleolar RNA U54
Exons: 1
Source: RefSeq, a predicted model, not a curated record